Bradysia coprophila is the source of this 121-nucleotide long non-coding RNA. NCBI's taxonomy places the organism in Eukaryota, Metazoa, Arthropoda, Insecta, Diptera, Sciaridae. The record is from RefSeq and is a predicted model, not a curated record.
UUAGAUUAAUUACCUCGACUGAAAGUCAUGGGUCUUACGGAUGAUAAACACUCUAAAAUGUUUGUCACACAUUGUUCACUACUAUGAUUCAAAUAACAUGGAAAGUAUGACUAAAAACCUU